This 420-nucleotide ribosomal RNA is filed under the name uncultured eukaryote. RNAcentral describes it as "bacterial SSU rRNA". It matches the Rfam family "Eukaryotic small subunit ribosomal RNA", at positions 592 to 1018 of the family's 1831-position model. The record is from RNAcentral.
CAAUAGCGUAUAUUAAAGUUGUUGCGGUUAAAAGCUCGUAGUUGGAUUUUUGUUGCCAAGACCCCUGCUUUUCUACAUGACUAGCACGCGGGUUUUGGCGACAUUUUCUGGUAGUUUUGUGGUACUUCGUUGUGCCAUAUCAUUUCCAGGGUUUUACUUUGAGGAAAUUAGAGUGUUUCAAGCAGGCUUAAAGCUUUGAAUAUAAUAGCAUGGAAUAAUACUGUAAGGCUUCGGCUUUAUUUUGUUGGUUUUUAGAGUCGAAGUAAUGAUUAAUAGGGACAGUCGGGGGCGAUUCGUACUUAACUGUCAGAGGUGAAAUUCUUGGAUUUGUUAAAGACGAACUAUUGCGAAAGCAUUUGCCAAGGAUGUUUUCAUUGAUCAAGAACGAAAGUUAGGGGAUCGAAGACGAUCAGAUACCAU